This is a long non-coding RNA of Mastomys coucha (southern multimammate mouse), 916 nucleotides long. RefSeq lists it as uncharacterized. The transcript is spliced from 4 exons. The record is from RefSeq and is a predicted model, not a curated record. NCBI's taxonomy places the organism in Eukaryota, Metazoa, Chordata, Mammalia, Rodentia, Muridae.
CUCAACACAAAAAAACAAAACAGAGCAAUUUGUUCAUCUCAAAGAGCCAGUGAGGUGGAGACAGAAUUUAAACCUACUGUUACCGUUGCAUCACUCAGAGUGUGCAGCAGGAUGCGUAAAGCAUCGGUCAGGAUCAGGAAGGAGGGAGAGGAAACCUCUGCCAGUAAAGGCAUCCAUGACAGCAGCCAGACACUACUGUGAUGAGCGAACUAGAGAAAACCCAGAAUUCCAGAUCUCCAUAGUGACUUCCCUUAUGUGAUUACUUUCAUUUGAUGUAUGUGGCCUCCCUCCACCAAUCGUGGGUAAAAUUAUUCUAGCCAAACCUCACUUCAAUUCUGGUUCAUCCAGCAUCACUAUGAGAAUUGUCAUGAAAACUUGCAACAAUGAUCACAGCACGAUUACUAAAAUCACUCACUGAACUCCUGUUACAAAGGCGUGCAUGACAGUGGUAAUCCAUACUUGAAGCUUAUCCAUCGUGUUCCUGGGAGUGUUCGCCAUGCAGGAAGUCUAUCGAAAAACAUGGUGAUGCUGAGCAUCGUGUUCUACUGGCUCACACUGCUAAGGCAAGGACUUUAGGAGUGUUGGAAGAAUUUUCAAUCUGGGAGGAAGAGCAUCUCCAGGUUCCCUGCCAGAGGACAGACACCAACUUGUCAGGGUGAGACUUUGAUCCCACAAUGUAAGUGGCUCCUUCGCAAUCGCUCAAGGCAAGAUUCUCCAUUGUUCCUGACUUGAGAUCACAACCAUCUACCAAAGCUACACACAAGGAGGUUGGUGUUAGCUUCAGGAAGGGAGGGAGCACAUCUUGGUCCUUUCUAAAAAGUGGUUUGUGACACUAAAUGAGACUGGGAAAUGUCUCAUGUUCAGUACUGGUCAUUUCAGAAAAACAUUUACUAUAAAUAAAAUAAUAAUAAAAAUG